This 446-nucleotide ribosomal RNA is filed under the name uncultured bacterium. Its description in RNAcentral is "SSU rRNA". It matches the Rfam family "Bacterial small subunit ribosomal RNA", at positions 26 to 518 of the family's 1533-position model. The record is from RNAcentral.
AGAACGAACGCUGGCGGCAGGCUUAACACAUGCAAGUCGAACGCGUGUAGCAAUACACGAGUGGCGCACGGGUGAGUAACGCGUGGAUAUCUGCCUUUUGGUUCGGAAUAACCCCGGGAAACUGGGGCUAAUACCGGAUGGUUCCUUCGGGAUAAAGAUUUAUCGCCAAAAGAUGAGUCCGCGUACGAUUAGCUAGUUGGUGAGGUAAUGGCUCACCAAGGCGACGAUCGUUAGCUGGUCUGAGAGGACGAUCAGCCACACUGGGACUGAGACACGGCCCAGACUCCUACGGGAGGCAGCAGUGGGGAAUAUUGGACAAUGGGGGCAACCCUGAUCCAGCCAUGCCGCGUGAGUGAUGAAGGCCUUCGGGUUGUAAAGCUCUUUUGGCGGGGACGAUGAUGACGGUACCGCAGAAUAAGCCCCGGCUAACUCGUGCCAGCAGCCGC